GGGCGGUGCGGUGUGCCUAAUACAUGCAAGUCGAACGAACUCUGGUAUUGAUUGGUGCUUGCAUCAUGAUUUACAUUUGAGUGAGUGGCGAACUGGUGAGUAACACGUGGGAAACCUGCCCAGAAGCGGGGGAUAACACCUGGAAACAGAUGCUAAUACCGCAUAACAACUUGGACCGCAUGGUCCGAGCUUGAAAGAUGGCUUCGGCUAUCACUUUUGGAUGGUCCCGCGGCGUAUUAGCUAGAUGGUGGGGUAACGGCUCACCAUGGCAAUGAUACGUAGCCGACCUGAGAGGGUAAUCGGCCACAUUGGGACUGAGACACGGCCCAAACUCCUACGGGAGGCAGCAGUAGGGAAUCUUCCACAAUGGACGAAAGUCUGAUGGAGCAACGCCGCGUGAGUGAAGAAGGGUUUCGGCUCGUAAAACUCUGUUGUUAAAGAAGAACAUAUCUGAGAGUAACUGUUCAGGUAUUGACGGUAUUUAACCAGAAAGCCACGGCUAACUACGUGCCAGCAGCCGCGGUAAUACGUAGGUGGCAAGCGUUGUCCGGAUUUAUUGGGCGUAAAGCGAGCGCAGGCGGUUUUUUAAGUCUGAUGUGAAAGCCUUCGGCUCAACCGAAGAAGUGCAUCGGAAACUGGGAAACUUGAGUGCAGAAGAGGACAGUGGAACUCCAGGUGUAGCGGUGAAAUGCGUAGAUAUAUGGAAGAACACCAGUGGCGAAGGCGGCUGUCUGGUCUGUAACUGACGCUGAGGCUCGAAAGUAUGGGUAGCAAACAGGAUUAGAUACCCUGGUAGUCCAUACCGUAAACGAUGAAUGCUAAGUGUUUGGAGGGUUUCCGCCCUUCAGUGCUGCAGCUAACGCAUUAAGCAUUCCGCCUGGGGGAGUACGGCCGCAAGGCUGAAACUCAAAGGAAUUGACGGGGGCCCGCACAAGCGGUGGAGCAUGUGGUUUAAUUCGAAGCUACGCGAAGAACCUUACCAGGUCUUGACAUACUAUGCAAAUCUAAGAGAUUAGACGUUCCCUUCGGGGACAUGGAUACAGGUGGUGCAUGGUUGUCGUCAGCUCGUGUCGUGAGAUGUUGGGUUAAGUCCCGCAACGAGCGCAACCCUUAUUAUCAGUUGCCAGCAUUAAGUUGGGCACUCUGGUGAGACUGCCGGUGACAAACCGGAGGAAAGGUGGGGAUGACGUCAAAUCAUCAUGCCCCUUAUGACCUGGGCUACCACCGUGCUACAAUGAAUGGUACAACGAGUUGCGAACUCGCGAGAGUAAGCUAAUCUCUUAAAGCCAUUUCUCAGUUCGGAUGGAAGGCUGGAAUUCGCCUAACUGAAGUCCGGAUCGCUAGAAACCGCGGAUCAGCAUGCCGCGGUGAAUACGUUCCCGGGCCUUGGACACACCGCCCGUCACCCAUGAGAGUUUGUAACCCCCCAAGGCUUGGGGGGACCUUUAAGACACCCGCCUAAGGUGGAAUAAAUAAACGGGAAUUCCAAUGGGUUCUUGAAACGCUUGGCCUGACCUUAGCCCCAGUCCAUAAAGGUUAUUUAACCUGAAGU
This 1552-nucleotide ribosomal RNA is filed under the name Lactiplantibacillus plantarum. RNAcentral describes it as "bacterial SSU rRNA". It matches the Rfam family "Bacterial small subunit ribosomal RNA". Lineage: Bacteria; Bacillati; Bacillota; Bacilli; Lactobacillales; Lactobacillaceae. The record is from RNAcentral.